AUGCGACCGCGCCCGCUCGCAUGGGCAGUCAUAUGGAGUGCCAACGCCGCCGCCCGUCGACUAUUUCCACGCCGUGAAAUUGGAUCAGGGAUUGGACGCCCAGAGAGACCAGAAACUCGUCCAGAAGGCAGAACCCUAGCAUCCGGAGAUCGUCCGGAGGAGGGAUUGGCAGGGAGAAGAGGGCCAUCUUCCUCAGCAAGCGCAAGGCGGCUACAACAUUAUCGCCACAGUCAUCAUCAUCACCACUAUCAUCAUCAUCACCACUGUCAUCAUCAUCACCACUAUCAUCAUCUUCAUCAUCCAUAUCCUUACCAUUGUAACCUUAGGAACCCUAGUGGAUCAUCUUGUGUGUUAUUCGAGUCAUCCAUCCAUGUAUGCCAUCACCCUUGUCAUGAUGGUUGUUGCCUCCAUGUGUCAGUAGAUCCCUAG
Molecule: ribosomal RNA, 429 nt
Filed under: Triticum aestivum (bread wheat)
Lineage: Eukaryota; Viridiplantae; Streptophyta; Magnoliopsida; Poales; Poaceae
Description: partial small subunit ribosomal RNA
Source: RNAcentral